RNAcentral lists this ribosomal RNA (253 nucleotides) under uncultured bacterium. Its description in RNAcentral is "partial 16S ribosomal RNA". It matches the Rfam family "Bacterial small subunit ribosomal RNA", at positions 524 to 776 of the family's 1533-position model. The record is from RNAcentral.
UACAGAGGAUGCAGGCGUUAUCCGGAAUGAUUGGGCGUAAAGCGUCUGUAGGUGGCUUUUUAAGUCCGCCGUCAAAUCCCAGGGCUCAACUCUGGACAGGCGGUGGAAACUACCAAGCUGGAGUACGGUAGGGGCAGAGGGAAUUUCCGGUGGAGCGGUGAAAUGCGUAGAGAUCGGAAAGAACACCAGAGGCGAAGGCGGCUACCUGGACAAUUGCUGACGCUCAGGCACGAAAGCGUGGGGAGCAAAAGGG